This is a non-coding RNA of Vicugna pacos (alpaca), 373 nucleotides long. Lineage: Eukaryota; Metazoa; Chordata; Mammalia; Artiodactyla; Camelidae. The record is from RefSeq and is a predicted model, not a curated record.
CCCUGGAAUACAUUAGCGCGCUCAGUGUCACACCCAUCAGCGGCCCUAACAGGAAACACCUGACAAUAGAGAAGGAUGAAAACGAGUGUUCCAGAGGAGAAGCUGAUUGGCCAAGGCACUUUCCGCUUCUCCAUUCUCUGGCCGUUGACUACAGCUUGUGCUCUGACUCCCUUGGGAUCGAUUUCCUUACUGCCAAGGCAGGGGGCUCCGGCUGCGCUAGGGCCCAAAAGGCGGAUCCGUAGGACCAAUUCGUUGCCGUAGGCCCCCUGACAAGCCUCUGGUUCUUCAAGCCAGUUAUAAUUGCGGUUUAGCUGUCCUGUGUGGCACUGCCUGGGACCUUCCCUGAGGCAAAAAGGUAAUUAUUUAAUUUUAG